CGGACGGGUGAGUAACACGUGGAUAACCUACCUAUAAGACUGGGAUAACUUCGGGAAACCGGAGCUAAUACCGGAUAAUAUAUUGAACCGUAUGGUUCAAUAGUGAAAGACGGUUUUGCUGUCACUUAUAGAUGGAUCCGCGCCGCAUUAGCUAGUUGGUAAGGUAACGGCUUACCAAGGCAACGAUGCAUAGCCGACCUGAGAGGGUGAUCGGCCACACUGGAACUGAGACACGGUCCAG
RNAcentral lists this ribosomal RNA (241 nucleotides) under uncultured Staphylococcus sp. Its description in RNAcentral is "partial 16S ribosomal RNA". It matches the Rfam family "Bacterial small subunit ribosomal RNA", at positions 99 to 334 of the family's 1533-position model. The record is from RNAcentral. Lineage: Bacteria; Bacillati; Bacillota; Bacilli; Caryophanales; Staphylococcaceae.